GGGCUGGGCUCAGUGGUAGAGCGCUUUCCUAGCAUGGGUGAGGCCCUGGGUUCGAUCCUCAGCACCACA
This 69-nucleotide transfer RNA is filed under the name Marmota monax (woodchuck). Its description in RNAcentral is "tRNA.Ala". The record is from RNAcentral. Lineage: Eukaryota; Metazoa; Chordata; Mammalia; Rodentia; Sciuridae.